GACGAACGCUGGCGGCGUGCUUAACACAUGCAAGUCGAACGGAAAGGCCCUGCUUUUGUGGGGUGCUCGAGUGGCGAACGGGUGAGUAACACGUGAGUAACCUGCCCUUGACUUUGGGAUAACUUCAGGAAACUGGGGCUAAUACCGGAUAGGAGCUCCUGCUGCAUGGUGGGGGUUGGAAAGUUUCGGCGGUUGGGGAUGGACUCGCGGCUUAUCAGCUUGUUGGUGGGGUAGUGGCUUACCAAGGCUUUGACGGGUAGCCGGCCUGAGAGGGUGACCGGCCCCAUUGGGACUGAGCUACGGCCCAGACUCCUACGGGAGGCAGCGGUGGGGAAUAUUGCACAAUGGGCGGAAGCCUGAUGCAGCAACGCCGCGUGCGGGAUGACGGCCUUCGGGUUGUAAACCGCUUUCGCCUGUGACGAAGCGUGAGUGACGGUAAUGGGUAAAGAAGCACCGGCUAACUACGUG
RNAcentral lists this ribosomal RNA (468 nucleotides) under uncultured bacterium. RNAcentral's name for it is "partial 16S ribosomal RNA". It matches the Rfam family "Bacterial small subunit ribosomal RNA", at positions 28 to 507 of the family's 1533-position model. The record is from RNAcentral.